RNAcentral lists this ribosomal RNA (433 nucleotides) under uncultured bacterium. Its description in RNAcentral is "partial 16S ribosomal RNA". It matches the Rfam family "Bacterial small subunit ribosomal RNA", at positions 29 to 507 of the family's 1533-position model. The record is from RNAcentral.
AACGAACGCUGGCGGCAUGCCUAACACAUGCAAGUCGAACGAGACCUUCGGGUCUAGUGGCGCACGGGUGCGUAACGCGUGGGAACCUGCCUUUAGGUUCGGAAUAACUCAGAGAAAUUUGAGCUAAUACCGGAUGAUGUCUUCGGACCAAAGAUUUAUCGCCUUUAGAUGGGCCCGCGUUGGAUUAGCUAGUUGGUGGGGUAAAGGCCUACCAAGGCGACGAUCCAUAGCUGGUCUGAGAGGAUGAUCAGCCACACUGGGACUGAGACACGGCCCAGACUCCUACGGGAGGCAGCAGUGGGGAAUAUCGGACAAUGGGCGAAAGCCUGAUCCAGCAAUGCCGCGUGAGUGAUGAAGGCCUUAGGGUUGUAAAGCUCUUUUACCCGAGAUGAUAAUGACAGUAUCGGGAGAAUAAGCUCCGGCUAACUCCGUG